ACUCCUACGGGAGGCAGCAGUGGGGAAUAUUUGCACAAUGGGGGAAACCCUGAUGCAGCCAUGCCGCGUGUGUGAAGAAGGCCUUCGGGUUGUAAAGCACUUUCAGUAGGGAGGAAGGUAGUGUAGUUAACACCUGCACUAUUUGACGUUACCUACAGAAGAAGCACCGGCUAACUACCGUGCCAGCAGCCGCGGUAAUACGGAGGGUGCGAGCGUUAAUCGGAAUUACUGGGCGUAAAGCGCAUGCAGGCGGCCUGUUAAGUCAGAUGUGUAAAGCCCGGGGACUUAACCUCGGAAUUGCGAAUUUGAAACUGGCAAGGCUAGAGUCUUGGUAGAGGGGGGUAGAAUUUCAAGGUGUAGCGGUGAAAUGCGUAGAGAUCUAGAAGGAAUACCAGUAGGCGAAGGCGGCCCCCUAGGACAAAGACUGAACGCUCAGAUGCGAAAAGCGUAGGGGAGCAAACAGGAUUAGAUACCCUGGUAGAUAGCG
This 487-nucleotide ribosomal RNA is filed under the name uncultured bacterium. RNAcentral's name for it is "bacterial SSU rRNA". It matches the Rfam family "Bacterial small subunit ribosomal RNA", at positions 335 to 799 of the family's 1533-position model. The record is from RNAcentral.